AACGCGAAGAACCUUACCUACCCUUGACAUCCUCGGAAUCUUUCAGAAAUGAGAGAGUGCCUUCGGGAACCGAGUGACAGGUGAUGCAUGGCUGUCGUCAGCUCGUGUCGUGAGAUGUUGGGUUAAGUCCCGUAACGAGCGCAACCCUCGUCCUUAGUUGCUAGCAGUUCGGCUGAGCACUCUAAGGAGACUGCCGGUGAUAAACCGGAGGAAGGCGGGGAUGACGUCAAGUCAUCAUGUCCCUUACGGGUAGGGCUACACACGUGCUACAAUGGGCAGUACAAAGGGUUGCCAAGUCGCAAGAUGGAGCUAAUCCCAAAAAGCUGUUCGUAGUCCGGAUUGGGGUCUGCAACUCGACCCCAUGAAGUUGGAAUCGCUAGUAAUCGCAAAUCAGCAUGUUGCGGUGAAUACGUUCCCGGGCCUUGUACACACCGGCUAC
Molecule: ribosomal RNA, 439 nt
Filed under: uncultured bacterium
Lineage: Bacteria
Description: bacterial SSU rRNA
Rfam family: Bacterial small subunit ribosomal RNA
Source: RNAcentral